This 486-nucleotide long non-coding RNA is filed under the name Medicago truncatula (barrel medic). Its description in RNAcentral is "long non-coding RNA (MTRU_LNC004952)". Lineage: Eukaryota; Viridiplantae; Streptophyta; Magnoliopsida; Fabales; Fabaceae. The record is from RNAcentral.
CUAAUUUUUAUUGAAAAUAUCAUGACACAAAAUUUUCAUUGUCUCCUUUUAUUUUGUUGAUUCUUGUACAUGAAAGCAAACUCUUGUGUUUUAAGUCUUCUUGAUAUACCCACAUCUUGUUUUAAAGUGAAUAAAACUCUCCAAUGAGAAAAACACAAAGUUGCUUCCCUUGAGUAAAUGUAUGAAUAGGUAUUUUAAGGAAACGCGUUUUAAUCCUAGCGGUGCAUUAACCUUUAAAGAUUCUCAAAGUGCCAGUAGUAUAAGUUAGUAUAAGGGAGUUCAUAAAAAGCCAAAAAGCCAAAUAAAUUCCAAGAUCUCAUCAUUGAAUCUAGAUUGGGGAAGGAGGUAGGCCCUCCGACUUCCUACAUGAAGAUGAUUGUUAUCUUAAGGAAAAACUUUAAAAAAAGCAUCAUUGAAUCUAGAUUGGGGAAGGGGGUAGGCCCUCCGACUUCCUACGUGAAGAUGAUGUUUUAAGGGAUACCAUUG